GAUGAACGCUGGCGGCGUGCCCAAUACAUGCAAGUCGAGCGAACGGACGAGAAGCUUGCUUCUCUGAUGUUAGCGGCGGACGGGUGAGUAACACGAGGAUAACCUACCUAUAAGACUGGGAUAACUUCGGGAAACCGUAGCUAAUACCGGAUAAUAUUUUGAACCGCAUGGUUCAAAAGUGAAAGACGGUCUUGCUGUCACUUAUAGAUGGAUCCGCGCUGCAUUAGCUAGUUGGUAAGGUAACGGCUUACCAAGGCAACGAUGCAUAGCCGACCUGAGAGGGUGAUCGGCCACACGGGAACUGAGACACGGUCCAGACUCCUAAGGGAGGCAGCAGUAGGGAAUCUUCCGCAAUGGGCGAAAGCCUGACGGAGCAACGCCGCGUGAGUGAUGAAGGUCUUCGGAUCGUAAAACUCUGUUAUUAGGGAAGAACAUAUGUGUAAGUAACUGUGCACAUCUUGACGGUACCUAAUCAGAAAGCCACGGCUAACUACGUG
RNAcentral lists this ribosomal RNA (497 nucleotides) under uncultured bacterium. RNAcentral's name for it is "partial 16S ribosomal RNA". It matches the Rfam family "Bacterial small subunit ribosomal RNA", at positions 28 to 507 of the family's 1533-position model. The record is from RNAcentral.